Molecule: ribosomal RNA, 361 nt
Filed under: uncultured bacterium
Lineage: Bacteria
Description: bacterial SSU rRNA
Rfam family: Bacterial small subunit ribosomal RNA
Source: RNAcentral
UUAGUCCUAGCAGUAAACGAUGGCUACUAGGUGUGGGGGGUGUUGACCCCUCCUGUGCCGAAGCUAACGCAUUAAGUAGCCCGCCUGGGGAGUACGGUCGCAAGACUAAAACUCAAAGGAAUUGACGGGGACCCGCACAAGCAGCGGAGCGUGUGGUUUAAUUCGAUGCAACGCGAAGAACCUUACCUGGGCUUGACAUCUAUUUGCAACACUCUGAAAGGGGUGCCUCCUUCGGGACAGAUAGACAGAUGCUGCAUGGCUGUCGUCAGCUCGUGUCGUGAGAUGUUGGGUUAAGUCCCGCAACGAGCGCAACCCUUGUCCUUAGUUGCAUAUCUAAGGAGACUGCCGGUACAAAACCGGA